AGAGUUUGAUCCUGGCUCAGGACGAACGCUGGCGGCGUGCUUAACACAUGCAAGUCACGGGGGCCCGCAAGGGCAACCGGCGAACGGGUGCGUAACACGUGAGCAACCUGCCUAUCUGUGGGGGAUAGCCGGCCCAACGGCCGGGUAAUACCGCAUACGCUCUCCGGGGGACAUCCCCUGGUGAGGAAAACUCCGGUGCAGAUAGAGGGGCUCGCGACCUAUCAGCUAGUUGGCGAGGUAACGGCUCACCAAGGCGACGACGGGUAGCUGGUCUGAGAGGAUGGCCAGCCACAUUGGGACUGCGACACGGCCCAGACUCCUACGGGAGGCAGCAGUGGGGAAUAUUGCGCAAUGGACGAAAGUCUGACGCAGCGACGCCGCGUGUGGGAUGAAGCUCUUCGGGGUGUAAACCACUGUUGCCAGGGAAGAAACUCUUGAUUCGUCAAGACUGACGGUACCUGGUGAGGAAGCACCGGCUAACUCUGUGCCAGCAGCCGCGGUAAUACAGAGGGUGCGAGCGUUGUCCGGAAUCACUGGGCGUAAAGGGCGCGUAGGUGGCGGGAUAAGUGUGUGGUGAAAGCUCGGGGCUCAACCCCGAGUCUGCCAUGCAGACUGUCUUGCUCGANCGUAGUANAGGCAGGUGGAAUUCCGGGUGUAGCGGUGGAAUGCGUANAGAUCCNGAANAACACCGGU
This 693-nucleotide ribosomal RNA is filed under the name uncultured bacterium. RNAcentral's name for it is "bacterial SSU rRNA". It matches the Rfam family "Bacterial small subunit ribosomal RNA", at positions 8 to 713 of the family's 1533-position model. The record is from RNAcentral.